GUGUUUCGAGGUUGAAAUUGAAGAACGGGAAUUCCAGAGACAUAGUUCGACAAGAGUCUAGCUUCAAGUUCCUCCAAGAGUCUACAAGCUGCGAACGAGGAAUCGCGAAGAACAACAGCAUCCAGGAAGAAAGGUAUAUCCGCAGACGAAGACAUUUUUCACGGAACAUUUGCCACUUAUCACCCUAUAGACAGCUUAAUUUCCACGGAAGAAGGACGCACCGACAACCACGUGUCUCGAAUUAGGUGUUCCCCAUUAGGCCAUACCGGAACGUUUACAUUCGC
Molecule: non-coding RNA, 284 nt
Organism: Nomia melanderi (Alkali bee)
Lineage: Eukaryota; Metazoa; Arthropoda; Insecta; Hymenoptera; Halictidae
Source: RefSeq, a predicted model, not a curated record